Molecule: long non-coding RNA, 691 nt
Organism: Rhipicephalus microplus (southern cattle tick)
Lineage: Eukaryota; Metazoa; Arthropoda; Arachnida; Ixodida; Ixodidae
Source: RefSeq, a predicted model, not a curated record
AGUUUAUUGUGCAAAACUUCGCAUGGCGUGCAUAAGGAAUCUCUGUGUGUGCUGCUGCGGUUGUUGGCAUGCACUGUGUGCGGUCGAUUUCGGAUUUCUCUGGCGAGCGUCCCGUUAUGGGGACAUCUGUUCCAUCCAAUCUUCCGGAGGCCCCAGUUCUUCUGCUAUUACCCUGUUCCCCAGUUCCCCUCGCUUAUCCAGGAGUUUCACGUCCACCACCUGUUCCGAAUCAUCCUGUUCUACCACCGAUUCUGAAGGUUCCAGCGAUUCGGAACCUUCCAGAACCACCACUCCGGCUGAACUUCUAGGCUUCUUCGCAUCUCCUGAACCUUCCAGGCCCUUCCUUCGAUGCUUCGCAGUACUUGGUGCCUCCCUUCACGAUAUACUGCGCAUAUGCAUGCUCAUAAUGCCACAUGGAAUGCGUGCCUUGUUGCCGUCCCGGCUCCGUUCAUGGCUAAACAUGUAAGGGGAACCCUGGCGGCAGUGUCUUUGAAGACGACGGCUGGCUACUGAAUGGCGAAAAACAAGAAGCGAAAUCCGGGUCAUCACUCAAAUGACGAAGUGUAGCUGUUCUUAUUUGCAUUUGGAAAUUUGAGUAGUUCAAAUUCCGCAAUUACAAUUUUACCCUACCUCCCUGCGAACCAGUCCUGUGGACCGUAGAAUUAAAUAAACGCCAUUUUGUGUAAACUUU